This 379-nucleotide long non-coding RNA is filed under the name Vitis vinifera (wine grape). RNAcentral's name for it is "long non-coding RNA (VVIN_LNC001822)". Lineage: Eukaryota; Viridiplantae; Streptophyta; Magnoliopsida; Vitales; Vitaceae. The record is from RNAcentral.
GAUGCUGUCGUAAGCAGCGUUGGAAUGAGAAGGUUGUGCAGCAUUGAUCCCACAGUAGUCCGGUUCACCGUUUCCCAUUUCAAGUCUCCUUCCCAACUGAACGUUUGGAUUGGAUAGGUAGCUUUGUUGGCUUCCUGACAGAGAGAGGUUUUCACAGUGGGGAAGACCAAGAGUGAGGGAAACACUAUUUCCAUGAAAUCUGGGUGCCAACUGCUCAGGGUUAAACCUUCCUAUGUCUCCAAUGGGGGAGUAUGCGCCAAAUCCACCACCAUUAUUUAUAGCUCCUGUUAUUAAUGGAUAUCCAUCCUUGGCUUGCCUUUCACUACCAAACUUCAUGCUAAUUUCCCUACUUGUCCCACCGGGUUUCAUUUCCAUGUCC